GCCGAAGUCAAUCGGUAGAGCGUGAGACUCUUAGUUUCACGUCCCCACAAGACGAUUGAUACAACUGCAAUCUCAAGGUUGCGGGUUCGACCCCCGCAUCGGGCU
Non-coding RNA from Paraphoma chrysanthemicola, 105 nucleotides. The record is from the annotation of a GenBank genome assembly. NCBI's taxonomy places the organism in Eukaryota, Fungi, Ascomycota, Dothideomycetes, Pleosporales, Phaeosphaeriaceae.